CAGAAGCAGCAGUACACUACCAGCUCUUGAUCUAGAAGUCCAGAUAAGACUACAACUACAGUUUUCUACAUGCUGCUCACUCCCUGCAUUACUACCUGUAGGUAGCACGGUUUUUAACAACAUAAAGAAUACAGUUAAGAAUCAAAGCCAGUGGGUAUUUAUUCAUUGUUUUCCAACAGAAGCACAAGUUCAAUGCCUGCACCCCCUUAUACUGUGAGUUGUCAUAGUCAAUGCGAGAGCUCUAGAAACAUUCUUUCUUAAUCAAGAUUUAUUUGGCUUUUGUUUGGUGAUCACAGACACUACAAUUUUACAACUGUUCUUAUUCACAUAGUUUCUUUUUAAUAUAAAAACUAUAGUUUUAUUUUUUUCUAAGCCUAUUUCAAAUAUCUUUUAUUUGAACUUUGUAGACAAGCUCUCCUUUAAAACUAAAUGUGAAGUACCAGCUGACAUUCAGUCUAUCAGUCAGAAACUUUUACCUAUUCAGUACUUAAAGAUAAAAGUUUCCAGUCUUUGACGUGGCAGUUACAAAGUUGUUGGAAAAUAAACCUACACCUACCAAAAAUAACUUUGUCACAGAUAUACAUUACUCGUCAAGAAAUCCAACACUAGGGAGCAGUUCACGAGAUAAGCAAUUCUACUGAUGGUACAACCACAGAUAAAUAACUAAAAUGUUAAGAUGUUCUCAACAUAUUACAAAUUCCGACGUCUGUGUUGCGCUUCAUUUAAUAAGAUAGAAAAACUCUUCCUCCCAAUCUGUGGAACGAGAAGCCACGUUAAGACUUCAAAAAGCCUCUCCGUUUUGUAACAUCCCAUUAAUUUCCGGUUUCGUAGAAAACAGACAACCAGUACAUGAUUUUACCACUUAAAAAAAUCAUUUACACUUAUCAAAAUAUGUAAAAAAAAAAUGGAUCGAGUUGGGAUUCUCUCCUUUUAAAAACGUGCUUUUUAGAACUACUAAAAAACUUGCAUUUACAAAAUAGUUGAUAAAAAUAUUCCUCUGAAUUAUACAAGAAGAAAAGUAUAAGGAUCACCAAUUAAACACUUGGUACCAGAUGUUAUUCAGACUUCACCUCUUCUUUCUCUACCGCUGCAUCAGAUGCUGGGGUCUCCUCACUUUUAGUUUCUCCAUUUUCUGCAGGCAAGUUGUCCUUUAUCUGCUCUUGGUUUGUCUCUUCAGUCUGUUUUCCUUUAGGCCCCUUUUUCCCCUUUGAUUGAGCUUUCUUGUUCUCAGAUUUAUCCUUAGCCGCCAACGCCUUAGCUUUAGGCUCCGCUUUGUCAGGCACAGGUUUGGCGGACAGCCGCGCCGAUCUCCUCUUCGGUACCUCCUCAGCGGCCUCCGCGCCGCUGGCGGCCACCUACCAACACAAACGGCACGCGUCAGGCGGCGCAUGCGCAGCGCGCAGAGGCGGGCCGGCUGAGAGCACGUGACGCGCCGCUCGGCCCGCCCCUUCUCUCCGCCGCCGCUUUCGGAUCGCCAGCCUCGGCCGAGCGCCCGCCGCGCGCCGCCGAACCUUCCAGACGACGCCGCUGAAGAGAGCGGUGGUGCCCAGCGCUGGCUUUCUUCGGCGCGCUGCCCGCCGCCGAGUUCAGCCGGGCGGCGACAGCCGCUUCCCUCGUCCCCCUUUUUUUCCUCGUUCCCCCCCCCACGCUCAACGUUCCCCGCCUCCGCUGUUCCCCCCUCGCUUCACCUUUCUCUUCGGCAUGGCGAAGCGCACGGUGGCUCCCGCCCGGCUGCUGCUGCGCUCUGAGUGCCUCACCGCCAGGCGCUGCGCAGGGAAACCGCCCCCCCCAUCCCAGCAGCGCCAGCGGCGCCGCAACAGGAUCCAGCCGGAUUGGCGGGGGAGAGGCGGGGCAGGGGGCGACGCGCUCCACGCUCGGCGGCAGCCGCCAGCGCCGCCUCCCGCGGGGCAGCAGCGGGGGGGGGGGGGGUGGACUGCGCCGGGCCUCCCCUCACGGCGGGGCGGGG
Molecule: long non-coding RNA, 1966 nt
Filed under: Gallus gallus (chicken)
Lineage: Eukaryota; Metazoa; Chordata; Aves; Galliformes; Phasianidae
Source: RNAcentral